UCUUUAAUGUUUAUUCAUUUCGUUCGUGUAUAUUUUAGAAAUUAAGAAAUGAAAACUGUAACUGUACCAGAGACAUAUAUACACAUAUAUAUGUCUCUGACUGUACUAAGUUCAAUUUUCGUAUCGUUUAUAUGCCUUACGGAAAACCGACCUUUUCCGGAAUCGACUUUUGUUUUAUCACCGGAAAUGAUUUUGAAAUUUGAAUUUCGAAACGAAGACAGGAUAUCAACAAAGAGAGCCAAGAAAAUUGUUUGUUACGCGAUAUAUACUCACUUGGAGCUAAAAGAAAAGCCACAAAGGACAAGUUCAAUAUGCAGGUUUACAAUUUGGAAGUGGCGCAGGUUCUUUGAAAUGUCUACAACCUUUCUGGAGAAUUUUUUUUUGAAAAGCAUGGCACAGCAAGAAAAAGAUAUAAGACACUACAAGACAUUCCAAGUGAUUUUGAAUAAGACAAUUGAUUGACUUUUUCAAUGUAUUCUUAAAUAAAUCAAAUAGUUGAUGUAAAAUGGUGUUUUGUUCUCAUCUGUUCAGCCAAUUAUCAAUGAUUAUUGACUUAAGAUGUAACCCUAUUAGAAGUGUAGCGUUUUAGUUAAGAAAGAGAAGUUGUAUUGAAAGAUCUGAAUUUGGGACACAAGUUUUAGUCAAUGUAACUUGAACUUAAAAAUGUGUAUAAUGUUUGCAUAAUGUCCAAUGGCAUAUAUGUCAUGCAUGUUCAGGUUGACAUAUGCAUGAUGUGUAUAAGAUAGGUAAUAAAAGUUAAGAGUGAAAAAAAACAAACAUUAUACCAUUGUGGUUGGAAUGUGGGCUUUCUUGCACUGUCUGUCGUCUGUCCACCUAUAUUUGUCGGAUUUUGUCCAACAAAUAUUUUCAUCAAGUGCUGUUUUUCCCAAAACUGCUGAUAAAGAUGAGUUCAUAUUUAAUGAGCUGCUUGAUAGUGAUGU
This is a long non-coding RNA of Mytilus californianus (California mussel), 941 nucleotides long. RefSeq lists it as uncharacterized. The transcript has 3 exons. Lineage: Eukaryota; Metazoa; Mollusca; Bivalvia; Mytilida; Mytilidae. The record is from RefSeq and is a predicted model, not a curated record.